AGGUUUGUUGCGCAGAGCACCCUGAUUGAUUGAUUGAUUGAUUUAUGCAUGAGCAUGAGUCCUCAUCGAUGUAAAUUAAUGAAAUUGUGAUCGGUGUUUUAAUGUGUCUAUACAUGUACAAAUUUGAACUAAAAAACGUUGGCCCAGAGCCCAGUUACUGGGUUUCUAUUUUAAUAUGGAUUUCUCUUAAUUUAUUUGUAAAAUUUUUGGGGGUUUUCAAAAUUAGGGUUUCUGAUUUGUGGUGUUGUAAUGGGUUAAAUUUUUAACGAAGUCCCAGUUAUAAGUGGGUUGCAUGCGAUAUGGGUUUUGUUGGUCGAUUUGUAACGAGUUCAAAACCUAAAAGCUAAAUUCAAUUUUCAAAUAUAGUUUACUAUUAUCAUGUGUUUAUGAAUGUGUCUUUGGUGUAGGGGUGUAGUUGCAGGGUUAGUAGGGUAUAUCAGGUUAGCUAUGUAGGUAAAAUUAUUUUGGAAAGUUAAGCUUAAUGAAAAACAUGAAAAGUGUAAAGCCUAGUGAUCAAAUUUACAGAUAGUGGGAUUGAUUCAGAGUAGAUUCCGAGGGUUUUGGUAUGCGAGUGGUGUGCAGAAUUGUUAUCCGAAAAAACUCGAUAGUUGGUUUCUGUAUCUUUAAGCAUGAGUCUCUGUUCCAAAGCUACCUGUUAUUUAUAGGUGGGAGUGGUGAGAGAAGCAUGUUUAUGUUGGUUGGUUUCUUAAGUGAUGCAGUUAGGUUUAAUAGGACUCAGAACACUUGGAUAGAAUGUGAUUCUGAGGAUUUUAGAUGUGUGUCGGUUGAUUUUUUUAGUUAAGUGUGCUGAACUGGUACAUGAUGAUUUUAUCAGGUCCCAGUCGAAAAAAAAUCGGUGUAUGGCAAAUAAUCGCGUAGGCUGUAAUGUGUUUGGUGUUUUUCGUAUAUUUUUUGUGAUUGUGGUGUGUGUUUACUUGAAUUGAAGUUAUUCUUGUGGUUUUGUGUCUUACUGAGUAGAUGAAAGUGGCUGCUGAGAUUGAAUUUUUGUUUUUAAAAAAAUCAUCUUUUGUUGAAAUGAAUCUUUAAAGGGCCUUCGUUUUUCUAAAUUUUUCCCAAAAACAUUUUUUAAAAUAAAGAAAUUCUGGUGGUUUUUAUGUUUUCUAAUUUAAAGAGGUUUGAUUUGAUAGUAUAAGGUCACUGUGAUCACACUGUGUUCUGUCACGAUGCAUGAUGAUCACAUGACUUCUAGAUUCUUGAUUUUUCAUGUACCUGAGGUAUCUGUUAAUGUUCGUCCGGCCACAUCGCAUUUGACUCUUGUCUGGAAUCAAAAAAUCUAAAAUUGUUAUUUUGGUCCCUCUAAAG
RNAcentral lists this long non-coding RNA (1323 nucleotides) under Erythranthe guttata (spotted monkey flower). Its description in RNAcentral is "long non-coding RNA (EGUT_LNC000944)". The record is from RNAcentral. Lineage: Eukaryota; Viridiplantae; Streptophyta; Magnoliopsida; Lamiales; Phrymaceae.